This 443-nucleotide ribosomal RNA is filed under the name uncultured bacterium. Its description in RNAcentral is "partial 16S ribosomal RNA". It matches the Rfam family "Bacterial small subunit ribosomal RNA", at positions 338 to 795 of the family's 1533-position model. The record is from RNAcentral.
CCUACGGGUGACAGCAGUGGGGAAUAUUGGGCAAUGGGCGCAAGCCUGACCCAGCAACGCCGCGUGAAGGAAGAAGGCUUUCGGGUUGUAAACUUCUUUUCUCAGGGACGAAGAAAGUGACGGUACCUGACGAAUAAGCCACGGCUAACUACGUGCCAGCAGCCGCUGUAAUACGUAGGUGGCAAGCGUUAUCCGGAUUUAUUGGGUGUAAAGGGCGUGUAGGCGGGAGCGCAAGUCAGAUGUGAAAACUCAGGGCUCAACCCUGAGCCUGCAUUUGAAACUGUGUUUCUUGAGUGCUGGAGAGGCAAUCGGAAUGCCGUGUGUAGCGGUGAAAUGCGUAGAUAUACGGAGGAACACCAGUGGCGAAGGCGGAUUGCUGGACAGUAACUGACGCUGAGGCGCGAAAGCGUGGGGAGCAAACAGGAUUAGAUACCCGGGUAGUC